Drosophila suzukii is the source of this 2506-nucleotide non-coding RNA. The record is from RefSeq and is a predicted model, not a curated record. Lineage: Eukaryota; Metazoa; Arthropoda; Insecta; Diptera; Drosophilidae.
AGGUCACGGCCGAGUCCAAAGUCCGGAGGAGUUCCGUUAUCCCCUCUUGCACAUGGCACUCUUGCUCUGCCCGCCAAGUUUCCACUCUCUCAUUCUCCGCUCCUUGGUCGCCAACCCCUCUCAUACUCCAUCCUUGGUCUCCUAACUCUCUUAUUCUCCCACAUUGGUCUCCAAACUGUCUUAUUCUCCAUCCUUGGUCUCCAAACUCUCUCAUACCUUAUCCUUAUUCUCUUUAUUCUCCAUCCUUGGUCUCCAAACUCUCGUUUUCUCCAACCGCUCCUCGCCGCGCCGUUACUACUCGAAUUCGCCGCGUAUCUGGUAAGUGGCCGGCCAUCUGUUUCUGCUGCUGCUUAGAUUUGUGGGAAUUUAAAAGCUCGUUCCUACUCUCCGGCGUUUGGUCACAUUAUCCGUGCGUGAUCGAUGUUUCAUCGACUAUCGACACCGACAGUGAGGCGUUGCCACCUGCCCGUUGCGAUAUUUCCACCUUUUGCCAAUGUUUCCAUUUUGCGUGUACCCAUCGAUCGCACUAUCGUCCAGUGACAAUCGACCGCCUACAAAUCGAGGCGCUCCCUUCCCUAGCUCAUGGUUAUUUUGCAACUUUCGUAGGUAAGUUUUCGCAUUUCUUUACUCCUUUCUAUCUUAUCCUUUCUCUUUCCUUUCGUCCUCUCUCGCCCUUCAAUCGUCCUUAGCCGGCUGCUCCUGGCUCCAUGCUGGCAACACUCGAGAGCGGGUGCGGAGAGGACUUCGCAUAUUGCUUCGCAACUGGGACAGCAGGUUGCUGGUGCGGCCCAUGUAUGCCCUUUUCUUGUUCCAGCAAUGUCCAAAAAUCAACUGCUUGGCCCCGUGCCUUUUCGGGAAUUCAUUCACGGCGGCGUGGCUAUAUAUCCUCUUGGAUUUUUUUGGUGACCCUCCGCUGACGCCUGGUCCUCUCUUAUGGGGUUGGUGGUCAGACGUUUGAAUAUGCGGUACGCCUUCUUCCGUUUGAGAGGUCCUGACUUUUUCGGUGGUUUUCUCUUAAACUCCUUGGCCCUGGUGCUUACCACAAGAUCAGCCAUGGCACUCCCCUCAGGUUGGAUUUGCUGGUUAGACGCCUCUGCGCUGGUGGGUGGUUUGGGCUGGACCUUGCGGCGUUCGGGGCUAGUCGGCGGCCUUGUCCGCCGACCCUCGCUGGUGUAGAUGUUGCUUGGAUGUGGGCUUUCGGUGCGACACCCACGCUCUUCUGGUCGUCGCCGGCUGCGACUUCCUACUUUGUAAGAGUGUCUAGUGUGAGAUCCGGUGUACCCGGGUAAGGCUGACUUAGAACAGGCGAUCGCCACUUGCCUGAGCCCACCGUUCGGGACUUUGUUAUUUGUUGACUCGGGCUCCCAGCCAGAUCGACUCUCGGCACGAUACGAGUGACACCUAAGUCCAGCCCUGGGUGAGAUGAAUGUGGGGGGAUAAUGAAGAGGUAGGUUUUGUUUGUGGGGAGGGGGGUGUGUGUGAGCUAUUUGUCGGAGGCGGCAGCACAAGCGCGACGUCGGUACUGCUACGGCGCAGGUACCCGCUGACUGUCCGGGACUACUUAUUUACGCUUGCGGGCCGUACCAACUUGCACGCUUACUGGUAGCUACCCUGGAGAACCAGGGCGCUCGUUAUCGGCAACCUUCGACCCGUUCUGUAGACUUCAGCUCGGCUCCAAGCCAUCCCACAAGCUUUUUGGCCGAAUACGACGACACACUUUAACGACAAGCGCCCUACAAUUAAGUUUCUUAAUGCCUCUUUUCUGUCAACUUUCCUUAACUGCUGACAGAUUUUUUCGACAAUUACUUAAGAACUGUCCUUUUUAAGGUCGGUUUUUUAUGCAUCACCUUUAUAACCUUACCGUGAGUAAGAGGAGAACAAGAAUAUACCGGUUUGGCAAGAUUACCUUGCCGAACUACACAGCUUAAGUGGUAGUUCAUUUUUCGGGUGAACCUUCAUAACUUUAACCAUUGUUUUGACCUAAUGACACAGUGUUUCAAUGUUUUAAAAAAUGACUCAAUUGGAGCGUUGCUGGGCCUUCUUUUUGUUAACAUCAAUAAAUAUCCCCUUAGCUUUUGUCUAAAAACCAUAUAUUUCCCAAAAUUAAAACUACCACUCCAGGAUGAUGAUAUAUGUUGGAUUGCAUUCUAGUUGCCCUGAUAUCUUUUCACUGAUAUCCAGCGUAUUGGACGUAUAUGUAGUUUUAAAUUCACUCUGACCUGCAAUGGUAUGCAAAGAAUCUCCUCUGCUUUUUAGAUUUAACACAGCAGAAACAUCAUGCUGACUCAAAUCAAAACUGGAAAAGCUAUUAUCUGAUAAUUAAGAGCAUACAUUAUUUUGGCAUAAUGACUUGUAAAAAAUGGAACGCAUACACUGGGAAAUAAGUUACUUCGCCCUAUAAAAAGCGGAAGCACAUUGUAUUGUAUGUAACAAUAUCUAGUUCGUUAAAUGGCUAAAUGGCUGAAUGGCGUAAAAUUGCCUGAAUAAAAGCGAUAUUUAUAUCGGU